CGGGAGGCAGCAGUGGGGAAUAUUGGACAAUGGGGGCAACCCUGAUCCAGCGACGCCGCGUGGGUGAUGAAGGCCUUCGGGUCGUAAAGCCCUUUUGCCGGGGACGAUGAUGACGGUACCCGGAGAAGAAGCACCGGCUAACUCUGUGCCAGCAGCCGCGGUAAUACAGAGGGUGCGAGCGUUAAUCGGAAUUACUGGGCGUAAAGCGAGUGUAGGUGGCUCAUUAAGUCACAUGUGAAAUCCCCGGGCUUAACCUGGGAACUGCAUGUGAUACUGGUGGUGCUAGAAUAUGUGAGAGGGAAGUAGAAUUCCAGGUGUAGCGGUGAAAUGCGUAGAGAUCUGGAGGAAUACCGAUGGCGAAGGCAGCUUCCUGGCAUAAUAUUGACACUGAGAUUCGAAAGCGUGGGUAGCAAACAGGAUUAGAUACCCUGGUAGUCCACGCCGUAAACGAUGCUAACUCGUUUUUGGGCUUUAGGGUUCAGAGACCAAGCGAAAGUGAUAAGUUAGCCACCUGGGGAGUACGCUCGCAAGAGUGAAACUCAAAGGAAUUGACGGGGGCCCGCACAAGCGGUGGAUUAUGUGGUUUAAUUCGAUGAUACGCGAGGAACCUUACCAAGACUUAAAUGGGAAUUGACAGCUUUAGAAAUAGAGCUUUCUUCGGACAAUUUUCAAGGUGCUGCAUGGUUGUCGUCAGCUCGUGCCGUGAGGUGUUAGGUUAAGUCCUGCAACGAGCGCAACCCCUGUCACUAGUUGCCAUCAUUCAGUUGGGGACUCUAGUGAGACUGCCUACGCAAGUAGAGAGGAAGGUGGGGAUGACGUCAAAUCAUCACGGCCCUUACGUCUUGGGCCACACACGUAAUACAAUGGCCGGUACAGAGGGCAGCUACACAGCGAUGUGAUGCAAAUCUCGAAAGCCGGUCUCAGUUCGGAUUGGAGUCUGCAACUCGACUCUAUGAAGCUGGAAUCGCUAGUAAUCGCGCAUCAGCCAUGGCGCGGUGAAUACGUUCCCGGGCCUUGUACACACCGCCCGUCACA
RNAcentral lists this ribosomal RNA (1035 nucleotides) under Aurantiochytrium limacinum. RNAcentral describes it as "partial Bacterial small subunit ribosomal RNA". It matches the Rfam family "Bacterial small subunit ribosomal RNA", at positions 342 to 1401 of the family's 1533-position model. Lineage: Eukaryota; Bigyra; Thraustochytrida; Thraustochytriidae. The record is from RNAcentral.